This is a small nucleolar RNA of Rhododendron vialii, 110 nucleotides long. RefSeq annotates it as small nucleolar RNA snoR100. Lineage: Eukaryota; Viridiplantae; Streptophyta; Magnoliopsida; Ericales; Ericaceae. The record is from RefSeq and is a predicted model, not a curated record. The transcript has a single exon.
CAAUGAAUAAGAAGCAUGGUAAUGUGCAUGUAAAUUGAAUUGGGUUCUCUAGGCCUUCUCUCUCUGAUGCCAUUUGAUUUUGAUUUGGGGCAUGAUUCUGCAGCAAAACA